GCCCACAUAGCUCAGUAGGUAGAGCAUGAGACUCUUAAUCUCAAGAUCAUAGGUUCAAGCCCCAGGUUGGGCA
Molecule: non-coding RNA, 73 nt
Organism: Podarcis lilfordi (Lilford's wall lizard)
Lineage: Eukaryota; Metazoa; Chordata; Lepidosauria; Squamata; Lacertidae
Source: the annotation of a GenBank genome assembly